UACGAAGGGGGCUAGCGUUGUCCGGAAUCAUUGGGCGUAAAGGGCUCGUAGGCGGUUUGUCGCGUCGGGAGUGAAAACUCAGGGCUUAACCCUGAGCCUGCUUCCGAUACGGGCAGACUAGAGGUAUGCAGGGGAGAACGGAAUUCCUGGUGUAGCGGUGAAAUGCGCAGAUAUCAGGAGGAACACCGGUGGCGAAGGCGGUUCUCUGGGCAUUACCUGACGCUGAGGAGCGAAAGUGUGGGGAGCGAACAGG
This 253-nucleotide ribosomal RNA is filed under the name uncultured bacterium. RNAcentral describes it as "partial 16S ribosomal RNA". It matches the Rfam family "Bacterial small subunit ribosomal RNA", at positions 524 to 776 of the family's 1533-position model. The record is from RNAcentral.